This 492-nucleotide ribosomal RNA is filed under the name uncultured bacterium. Its description in RNAcentral is "partial 16S ribosomal RNA". It matches the Rfam family "Bacterial small subunit ribosomal RNA", at positions 29 to 507 of the family's 1533-position model. The record is from RNAcentral.
AGUGAACGCUGGCGGUAGGCCUAACACAUGCAAGUCGAACGGCAGCACAGUAAGAGCUUGCUCUUACGGGUGGCGAGUGGCGGACGGGUGAGGAAUACAUCGGAAUCUACUUUUUCGUGGGGGAUAACGUAGGGAAACUUACGCUAAUACCGCAUACGACCUACGGGUGAAAGCAGGGGAUCUUCGGACCUUGCGCGAUUGAAUGAGCCGAUGUCGGAUCAGCUAGUUGGCGGGGUAAAGGCCCACCAAGGCGACGAUCCGUAGCUGGUCUGAGAGGAUGAUCAGCCACACUGGAACUGAGACACGGUCCUGACUCCUACGGGAGGCAGCAGUGGGGAAUAUUGGACAAUGGGCGCAAGCCUGAUCCAGCCAUACCGCGUGGGUGAAGAAGGCCUUCGGGUUGUAAAGCCCUUUUGUUGGGAAAGAAAAGCAGCAGGUUAAUACCCCGCUGUUCUGACGGUACCCAAAGAAUAAGCACCGGCUAACUUCGUG